GCACGAGAGAUUUCGGUUUUUUGGUGGCGACCGGCGCACGGGUGUGUAACGCGUAUGCAACCUACCUCAUUCAGGAGGAUAGCCCAUGGAAACGUGGAUUAAUACUCCAUAACACAACAGCUUGGCAUCAAGCAAUUGUUAAAACUCCGGUGGUAAUGGAUGGGCAUGCGUAUCAUUAGUUAGUUGGUGAGGUAAUGGCUCACCAAGACAGCGAUGAUUAGGGGGCCUGAGAGGAUGAUCCCCCACACUGGUACUGAGACACGGACCAGACUCCUACGGGAGGCAGCAGUAGGGAAUAUUGGGCAAUGGACGAGAGUCUGACCCAGCCAUGCCGCGUGCAGGAAGACGGCCUUACGGGUUGUAAACUGCUUUUGUAUGGGAAGAAAAAUUUCUUGCGAGAGGUACUGACGGUACCAUACGAAUAAGCACCGGCUAACUCCGUGCCAGCAGCCGCGGUAAUACGGAGGGUGCAAGCGUUGUCCGGAUUUAUUGGGUUUAAAGGGUGCGUAGGCGGAACAUUAAGUCAGUGGUGAAAUCUUACGGCUCAACCGUAAAACUGCCAUUGAUACUAUUGUUCUUGAGUACAGUUGAGGUGGUUGGAAUGCGUAGUGUAGCGGUGAAAUGCAUAGAGAUUACGCAGAACGCCAAUUGCGAAGGCAUCACUAAACUGUAACUGACGCUGAGGCACGAAAGCGUGGGGAGCGAACAGGAUUAGAUACCCUGGUAGUCCACGCCGUAAACGAUGGAUACUAGAUGUUCGGCUAAUUGAGGCUGAGUGUCCAAGCGAAAGCGAUAAGUAUCCCACCUGGGGAGUACGUCCGCAAGGAUGAAACUCAAAGGAAUUGACGGGGGCCCGCACAAGCGGUGGAGCAUGUGGUUUAAUUCGAUGAUACGCGAGGAACCUUACCUGGGCUAUAAUGUGAGUGACCGUCCGUGAAAGCGGAUUUUCUUCGGACACGAAACAAGGUGCUGCAUGGUUGUCGUCAGCUCGUGCCGUGAGGUGUUGGGUUAAGUCCCGCAACGAGCGCAACCCCUAUUCUUAGUUGCCAGCGAGUAAUGUCGGGGACUCUAAGGAGACUGCCUGCGCAAGCAGUGAGGAAGGUGGGGACGACGUCAAAUCAUCAUGGCCCUUACGCCCAGGGCUACACACGUGCUACAAUGGCCGGUACAAAGGGUUGCCAACUCGCGAGAGUGCGCAAAUCCCAAAAAGCCGGUCUCAGUUCGGAUCGGAGUCUGCAACUCGACUCCGUGAAGCCGGAAUCGCUAGUAAUCGCGUAUCAGCUACGACGCGGUGAAUACGUUCCCGGGCCUUGUACACACCGCCCGUCAAGCCAUGGGAGUUGGGUAGACC
This 1351-nucleotide ribosomal RNA is filed under the name uncultured prokaryote. RNAcentral's name for it is "partial 16S ribosomal RNA". It matches the Rfam family "Bacterial small subunit ribosomal RNA", at positions 69 to 1421 of the family's 1533-position model. The record is from RNAcentral.